Molecule: transfer RNA, 89 nt
Filed under: Escherichia coli
Lineage: Bacteria; Pseudomonadati; Pseudomonadota; Gammaproteobacteria; Enterobacterales; Enterobacteriaceae
Description: tRNA-Ile
Rfam family: tRNA
About the family: Transfer RNA (tRNA) molecules are approximately 80 nucleotides in length. Their secondary structure includes four short double-helical elements and three loops (D, anti-codon, and T loops).
Source: RNAcentral
GGCCCUUUAGCUCAGUGGUUAGAGCAGGCGACUCAUAAUCGCUUGGUCGUUGGUUCAAACCCAAUGUUCAAACCCAACAGGGGCCACCA